AGAGUUUGAUCCUGGCUCAGAGCGAACGCUGGCGGCAGGCCUAACACAUGCAAGUCGAACGGACCCUUCGGGGUUAGUGGCGGACGGGUGAGUAACACGUGGGAACGUGCCUUUAGGUUCGGAAUAGCUCCUGGAAACGGGUGGCAAUGCCGAAUGUGCCCUUCGGGGGAAAGAUUUAUCGCCUUUAGAGCGGCCCGCGUCUGAUUAGCUAGUUGGUGGGGUAAUGGCCCACCAAGGCUACGAUCAGUAGCUGGUCUGAGAGGAUGACCAGCCACAUUGGGACUGAGACACGGCCCAAACUCCUACGGGAGGCAGCAGUGGGGAAUCUUGCGCAAUGGGCGAAAGCCUGACGCAGCCAUGCCGCGUGUAUGAUGAAGGUCUUAGGAUUGUAAAAUACUUUCACCGGUGAAGAUAAUGACUGUAGCCGGAGAAGAAGCCCCGGCUAACUUCGUGCCAGCAGCCGCGGUAAUACGAAGGGGGCUAGCGUUGCUCGGAAUUACUGGGCGUAAAGGGAGCGUAGGCGGACAUUUAAGUCAGAGGUGAAAUCCCGGAGCUUAACUUCGGAACUGCCUUUGAUACUGGGUGUCUUGAGUGUGAGAGAGGUAUGUGGAACUCCGAGUGUAGAGGUGAAAUUCGUAGAUAUUCGGAAGAACACCAGUGGCGAAGGCGACAUACUGGCUCAUUACUGACGCUGAGGCUCGAAAGCGUGGGGAGCAAACAGGAUUAGAUACC
RNAcentral lists this ribosomal RNA (732 nucleotides) under uncultured Brevundimonas sp. RNAcentral's name for it is "bacterial SSU rRNA". It matches the Rfam family "Bacterial small subunit ribosomal RNA", at positions 8 to 786 of the family's 1533-position model. Lineage: Bacteria; Pseudomonadati; Pseudomonadota; Alphaproteobacteria; Caulobacterales; Caulobacteraceae. The record is from RNAcentral.